This 381-nucleotide ribosomal RNA is filed under the name Vibrio vulnificus. RNAcentral describes it as "bacterial SSU rRNA". It matches the Rfam family "Bacterial small subunit ribosomal RNA", at positions 1045 to 1425 of the family's 1533-position model. The record is from RNAcentral. Lineage: Bacteria; Pseudomonadati; Pseudomonadota; Gammaproteobacteria; Vibrionales; Vibrionaceae.
AUGGCUGUCGUCAGCUCGUGUUGUGAAAUGUUGGGUUAAGUCCCGCAACGAGCGCAACCCUUAUCCUUGUUUGCCAGCGAGUAAUGUCGGGAACUCCAGGGAGACUGCCGGUGAUAAACCGGAGGAAGGUGGGGACGACGUCAAGUCAUCAUGGCCCUUACGAGUAGGGCUACACACGUGCUACAAUGGCGCAUACAGAGGGCGGCCAACUUGCGAAAGUGAGCGAAUCCCAAAAAGUGCGUCGUAGUCCGGAUUGGAGUCUGCAACUCGACUCCAUGAAGUCGGAAUCGCUAGUAAUCGUGGAUCAGAAUGCCACGGUGAAUACGUUCCCGGGCCUUGUACACACCGCCCGUCACACCAUGGGAGUGGGCUGCAAAAGAA